RNAcentral lists this ribosomal RNA (468 nucleotides) under uncultured bacterium. RNAcentral describes it as "partial 16S ribosomal RNA". It matches the Rfam family "Bacterial small subunit ribosomal RNA", at positions 28 to 507 of the family's 1533-position model. The record is from RNAcentral.
GACGAACGCUGGCGGCGUGCUUAACACAUGCAAGUCGAACGGAAAGGCCCUGCUUUCGUGGGGUGCUCGAGUGGCGAACGGGUGAGUCACACGUGAGUAACCUGCCCUUGACUUUGGGAUAACUUCAGGAAACUGGGGCUAAUACCGGAUAGGAGCUCCUGCUGCAUGGUGGGGGUUGGAAAGUUUCGGCGGUUGGGGAUGGACUCGCGGCUUAUCAGCUUGUUGGUGGGGUAGUGGCUUACCAAGGCUUUGACGGGUAGCCGGCCUGAGAGGGUGACCGGCCACAUUGGGACUGAGAUGCGGCCCAGACUCCUACGGGAGGCAGCAGUGGGGAAUAUUGCACAAUGGGCGGAAGCCUGAUGCAGCAACGCCGCGUGCGGGAUGACGGCCUUCGGGUUGUAAACCGCUUUCGCCUGUGACGAAGCGUGAGUGACGGUAAUGGGUAAAGAAGCACCGGCUAACUACGUG